Molecule: ribosomal RNA, 98 nt
Filed under: Clostridium cavendishii DSM 21758
Lineage: Bacteria; Bacillati; Bacillota; Clostridia; Eubacteriales; Clostridiaceae
Description: 23S rRNA. Bacterial LSU
Rfam family: Bacterial large subunit ribosomal RNA
Source: RNAcentral
UAGUAAGAUCCCUUGAAGAACACAAGGUUGAUAGGUGAGGGGUGUAAGCAUGGUAACAUGUUCAGCUGACUCAUACUAAUAGAUCGAGGGCUUGACCA